AGUUUCGGUCUCGUUGGUGACAGCGGAGGGAUCAUUACAGAGUUGCAAAACUCCCUAAACCAUUGUGAACGUUACCCAAACCGUUGCUUCGGCGGGCGGCGCCCAGCGCCCCCCCGGCCCCUCGCGGGGCGCCCGCCGGAGGUACCCCAAACCAUUGAUACUUUAUGGCCUCUCUGAGUCUUCUGUACUGAAUAAGUCAAAACUUUCAACAACGGAUCUCUUGGUUCUGGCAUCGAUGAAGAACGCAGCGAAAUGCGAUAAGUAAUGUGAAUUGCAGAAUUCAGUGAAUCAUCGAAUCUUUGAACGCACAUUGCGCCCGCCAGUAUUCUGGCGGGCAUGCCUGUUCGAGCGUCAUUUCAACCAUCAAGCCCCCGGCUUGUGUUGGGGACCUGCGGCUGCCGCAGGCCCUGAAAAGCAGUGGCGGGCUCGCUGUCACACCGAGCGUAGUAGAUUUCAUCUCGCUCUGGGCGUGCUGCGGGUUCCGGCCGUUAAACCACCUUAUAACCCAAGGUUGACCUCGGAUCAGGUAGGAAGACCCGCUGAACUUAAGCAUACAAGUGUUGGGGAAAAAUCUUGGGAAACUUUUAGGGAAUGGCGGGAUCAUAUCCCAGAGAGAAUCCCCUACUUCGUCCCUUGGCAACCCAAGUUCACAGAUGCGCUAAGGGCCGGUUCAAAGAUCUAACACCGGUCUGGGAAAAGCGCUCCAUCGAAGGCGCAAAAUCUGAGGCCAAAAGUUUUAUACUCCAGCGCGGGCCCCGAGGCUCUCUUUUAAAAUUGUGCCGAGAGAGCAUCCCCGCGGGCUUAGAGGGGGGAGAGUGAGCUCUGUGGGAAGCUC
This 835-nucleotide ribosomal RNA is filed under the name Chaetomium sp. C33YPD1. Its description in RNAcentral is "eukaryotic LSU rRNA". The stretch from base 201 to 354 matches the Rfam family "5.8S ribosomal RNA". The record is from RNAcentral. Lineage: Eukaryota; Fungi; Ascomycota; Sordariomycetes; Sordariales; Chaetomiaceae.